AUGCUCCGGUCUGAGUGUCUCUGUCUGAUGGUCACCAUGUUCAGUCUGAACCGAGCGGCUCUGCUUCAACUAUUAGCUAUGUGCCAAGUUUUUGCAGGCCAUUGGGUCAUGUACCACAGGGAUAUUCUGGUGUCCAGGGGAGAAUCUGUCACGUUGACUUGCAACACAUCUGAGGACAAUUUCACACAAAUCAGCUGGACCAAAGACAGAUUUAGUUUUGUUCGUUCAAUUCUACUUAAUCAGACUUUUUCGAAUCUAACCUCUAACAGACUGACAAUAGACAGAAACUUACCUUUAAAGCUGAAUGUUUCUAAUUCUCAACAUGAAGAUGCAGGACUCUACACAUGUACAGUAACUAGUGACCAGUGGUGAAAGGAUAACAGAAUUGAAUAUGACAGUGUCUGAGGCACCUGAAGGUAAGUAGAGCUCAGACAGGACUAAUCAUCUCUUCAGAAUUUGUACAUUUCAAAACUCACACUUCCUGCUACUUUAAUUGACACCUGAUAUCUUGCAGGAGUUGUUGUCAGUUCAUCAUGGGAUCUUCUAUACAUACUCACAUGUGUGAUUGGACUUCUCUGUGCUACAGCAGUCUGUCUCUGCAGGUGAGUAAUACCAUAACACAUUUUAGGUAGUGACAUAGUUUUAUCAAUUGAAAAUAACGUUUAGAGAAUUGAGCAGCGACACAUUUUCAGAAAGACUUCUGUCUCGUCAGCCAUCUUUUCUCCCUCUUCUCUUCAGCUCUCUUGAAGCUGUAUUAAAAACACAACUAGUGAAAAAGACUAUCUGCUGUGGAAUAUGUUAACUGUUCUUCCAAAGUAAGGUCCAUUUAUCUGCAUUUUGUUAUGCAGAAAUGUUAAAAUAUGUAAUUUGGGUGACUCAGUUGUUUGACUCUAUUUUUGCAGCAGCACAAAAACUCAUGCAACCACAGGUAUUUUACCAACCUUGAAAUGUCCUUUACCUUUAGUCGAAGUAUUUUUGUGCACAGUCAGGAGGAAGUGCACACAGGAAAGUGUUAAUAAAUGAGGUCAGGGCCAUAGCCACGGUAUGAACCACACACUGAGCUCAAAGUUUAUGUCUUACAAUUAAAAAAAUAAACACAGUGGUUAUUUUACAUGUCAAUUCAAGUGUGUUUAAACUCAUUAAUAUACUUAAAUCACAUUACUUUUAAACCAGUUAGGACACUAUGUAAGCAUAUUUAUAACAGAAUUACUAAUCUUUCCAGACAAAUACUCAAUUGAAAACUGCAUAAAGGCAACAUAGUAAAUGCUUUAACUCAUCAUACAGGUUUCAAACAAGUUGGUACAGGGGCAACAACAAUAAGACAACAAAAGACUGGAAAAGCUGUUGGAUGCUCCAAAAACAUUGCAAAUUGUUUCCUUCUGUAUGCUUUUAAGUUUUACAUAAAAUAUUACUAUGAAAAGAAAAGAAAAAAAAAACGAUGUUAAAAAUUAAAUUUUGGAUACCUUAGUCAAGACUACAGGUGGAGCCUUGACCUGGUUGCUUCAAAUCUUAUACUAUAUUUUAUAUUUAAUUAUUUGUAGGAUAGUCCCUUAAGAUGAAUCAUCUUGUUUUCAAGGGAGUCCUUAACAUGUAUACAGACAAUAACAAGACAAAAAAUUCAGCAUUACAUUACAUUACUGAACAUACAGGAGUAGGACAGAACAUUACAACAAAACAAUACAAAUACAAUUACAAGACGAUAACAUCCACACAAUACACUCUUGACCCAAACCGUUCCCUGCCCCCCCAGUCCGUCUAGAUUC
Molecule: long non-coding RNA, 1763 nt
Filed under: Sparus aurata (gilthead seabream)
Lineage: Eukaryota; Metazoa; Chordata; Actinopteri; Spariformes; Sparidae
Description: lncRNA (ENSSAUG00010014984.1)
Source: RNAcentral